Long non-coding RNA from Dipodomys spectabilis (banner-tailed kangaroo rat), 100 nucleotides. RefSeq lists it as uncharacterized. The record is from RefSeq and is a predicted model, not a curated record. The transcript has 3 exons. NCBI's taxonomy places the organism in Eukaryota, Metazoa, Chordata, Mammalia, Rodentia, Heteromyidae.
ACCAUGGAAAGGUCUGUGCCCUCGCUGGCAAUAAACAAACUUGGCCUGUUGAAAAUCAAGUCUGGUCUAUUCCUUUUCCUUUGUCCUCCAUUUUUCUAAC